UCAGAUGUUCCCAACUUGCCAGGGCAGU
RNAcentral lists this non-coding RNA (28 nucleotides) under Rattus norvegicus (Norway rat). The record is from RNAcentral. Lineage: Eukaryota; Metazoa; Chordata; Mammalia; Rodentia; Muridae.